UUAUGUUCAUAAAUAAUUUUAUGCCCAUUUCUUGUGUAUUGAAAGUGGGACAAGCGAGAUAACUCUAAUACUUUUGUGCGGUCUUGUUUUUGGAACAUAUCAGUAUCAGAUUGAGUUCAAGCAGUGGCGGCGCCAUAUUUGUAUGGAAAUACAAUUUUAUUUUUGAACAAGCAAGUUGGCUACAGCGUGUCCAGUGCACAGUUAAUACAUUUGAUGGACUUCUCGUGGUGUGAUCUUUUGGAUUUCCAAGGAAUUCAGCACAUUUAAAGCCAGUCCAAGAGUGGGAAAUACAGCAAGGGACCCUUGUGAUCAAGCAUUUAUUUUUACUGGGAACAAGAUGAGUACCGGUUAUAGGCCUACAGACUAUGGGGGUGGUUACAAAGCCAGUUAAUUUACAACAAGAGGAAGUCGCAAGUGACACUCCAACAAGCAACAAUCAUUCAAGCCAAUUAGAAGAUGGCAAUUUUACCAAGUAAUUCAGGAAAGAGGACAUUGGCUUUGAAAAAACAUUUUCAACCAUGAUGACAGGAGCAUCUGGUUGUAUCAAGAAGUAGUAAAGUUUUGAUGUAAUUAUGCAUCUAACAAAGUUUGUGUACAAUGCAUAAUAAUAUGGUAUUGUUUUACAAGAGUUGAAAUAGUUUCUUUGUAUGUUGGUAAUGUGUUAUUUUUCAUGGACUGUAUCCAGUUUGUAUGAAUUUUAGGGAUACGUCUAUUGUAGUAAGAUUAAAACUCGCACUAGGGUUGGGUGGGGAUUACUGCUGAUGACAGUUCACAUCUGCCUGUCAUUGGCAGUAAGUGGCAUUUUUACCUUACCCCACCUUUGAUGUAAACAUUUUAUACAGUAAUGUUUUGAUCUAUUUGGAAGUUGCAUGUAGUGAUAUUGGUAUCACUGCAAGGUUUAUAAAUGUAAAUCUAUCAAACUACAUUUUCAUUUUUGUAAUAGUUUUACAAAAUUGUCAUUUGAUAAUAAAUGACCUUUUUCAACUUCAAACGGUGUUGUGUUGGUAUCAGAUAGUGCAAUAUUACAUCAAACAGAGCAACCUUUAGUGCGAGUAUCAGGAAGAUGGGCAUAAAUGCUAUUUAUGUUCAUAAAUAAUUUUAUGCCCAUUUCUUGUGUAUUGAAAGUGGGACAAGCGAGAUAACUCUAAUACUUUUGUGCGGUCUUGUUUUUGGAACAUAUCAGUAUCAGAUUGAGUUCAAGCAGUGGCGGCGCCAUAUUUGUAUGGAAAUACAAUUUUAUUUUUGAACAACCCUCCCACCUCUCCCUAAUAGUUAAAAAUUUAUAGUGUUCUUAAUUGAUGUGAAUAAUUUGACAAUAUUUUUCCAUAUUUCUUUUUCAGUAGGUAAGGCAUUUUUACCUUACCCCACCUUUGAUGUAAACAUUUUAUACAGUAAUGUUUUGAUCUAUUUGGAAGUUGCAUGUAGUGAUAUUGGUAUCACUGCAAGGUUUAUAAAUGUAAAUCUAUCAAACUACAUUUUCAUUUUUGUAAUAGUUUUACAAAAUUGUCAUUUGAUAAUAAAUGACCUUUUUCAACUUCAAA
Saccostrea cuccullata (small rock oyster) is the source of this 1541-nucleotide long non-coding RNA. RefSeq lists it as uncharacterized. The transcript is spliced from 4 exons. The record is from RefSeq and is a predicted model, not a curated record. NCBI's taxonomy places the organism in Eukaryota, Metazoa, Mollusca, Bivalvia, Ostreida, Ostreidae.